CCUACGGGAGGCAGCAGUGAGGAAUAUUGGUCAAUGGCCGAGAGGCUGAACCAGCCAAGUCGCGUGAGGGAAGACGGCCCUACGGGUUGUAAACCUCUUUUGCCGGGGAGCAACGGGCGUCACGUGUGGCGCCACUGAGAGUACCGUACGAAUAAGCAUCGGCUAACUCCGUGCCAGCAGCCGCGGUAAUACGGGGGAUGCAAGCGUUAUCCGGAUUUUUUGGGUUUAAAGGGUGCGUAGGCUGUGAGGUAAGUCAGCGGUGAAAUGCCCCCGCUCAACGGGGUGAAGUGCCAUUGAUACUGCCUUGCUGGAAUGCGGAUGCCGUGGGAGGAAUGUGUGGUGUAGCGGUGAAAUGCAUAGAUAUCACACAGAACACCGAUUGCGAAGGCAUCUCACGAAUCCGCGAUUGACGCUGAUGCACGAAAGCGUGGGUAUCAAACAGGAUUAGAUACCCCGGUAGUC
This 462-nucleotide ribosomal RNA is filed under the name uncultured bacterium. RNAcentral describes it as "partial 16S ribosomal RNA". It matches the Rfam family "Bacterial small subunit ribosomal RNA", at positions 338 to 795 of the family's 1533-position model. The record is from RNAcentral.